AACGUCAGACAGCUGAGUAGUGAUUUGAUCUCUGUCCCUUGUAACGUCAGACAGCUGAGUAGUGAUUUGAUCUCUGUCCCUUGUAACGUCAGACAGCUGAGUAGUGAUUUGAUCUCUGUCCCUUGUAACGUCAGGCAGCUGAGUAGUAAUUGUACUGUUGGGCUCAGAAAUUUGCCUUGCGAGUUCUUGAACGUGAGACAGUGCGAUCUCAACAGCGUGAAGCCGCAGCCUGAAUGAUUCCAAUCUAUUAUUGCUUCCAAAAGGUAAGAUGUUUAAUGAGUCCUGUGACAUUUUUUUAAAGGUUUAAAGCACGGUGUCACAGGUUAAAUACGUAUUAGCUUUGUCUAAAACAACUAGCUGUUUCUGAAAAUGCUCCAAUGUUAACUGUUAAAGGAGCUCCCCUAUUUAAGGACUCGGUUUAGCAGAGAACGUGACGUCGCCCGCGGCGUCAUAAUGGUCCUUUGAGAAGAUCAAAGAGCGCUGUGGAUGGAGGAGGAGCCAAGAUGGCGACCUGUGUGGACGCUUCUCUGGCCCUGGUGAGAACUGUGGUCUUCACCAAACCUGCACACAGCAGCUGCUCAGCCGAGCCGCUGCCUUCACUCACGCACGGAGGGUAUCCACGCGCCUUCAAGUCAACAUGAUGCCUUCCGUGGCUCGUUACAAACCAUCUGAGAUAUAUUAAGUAGUAAGUGUAUUUAAUAUCAUACUAGGCAGAUUUACCGCACUGCCAUUUACUACACAUUUACCCGUGUUUAGCUAUUGUCAGUACAUCUCGCUCGUUGUAAACUUUCUUUAAGUACGUGUAACAUUCACAAUGAUAUUGUUGAUGGUAACGUGUAUGAUUCCAGCCUACCUGAUAGGCACUUUUGACUUUUUGUAGUUCAGUUCACUGAUUGACUACCCUGCAGUGCUGUUUUCCUGUAUUCCUGUUUCGUCCACUUUAAUAAAGUGUCCUGUGUUACAGUAA
Molecule: long non-coding RNA, 967 nt
Organism: Oreochromis aureus
Lineage: Eukaryota; Metazoa; Chordata; Actinopteri; Cichliformes; Cichlidae
Exons: 2
Source: RefSeq, a predicted model, not a curated record